RNAcentral lists this ribosomal RNA (398 nucleotides) under uncultured bacterium. RNAcentral describes it as "partial 16S ribosomal RNA". It matches the Rfam family "Bacterial small subunit ribosomal RNA", at positions 523 to 918 of the family's 1533-position model. The record is from RNAcentral.
AUACGUAGGGUGCGAGCGUUGUCCGGAAUUACUGGGCGUAAAGAGCUCGUAGGUGGUUUGUCGCGUCGUCUGUGAAAUUCCGGGGCUUAACUCCGGGCGUGCAGGCGAUACGGGCAUAACUUGAGUACUGUAGGGGAGACUGGAAUUCCUGGUGUAGCGGUGAAAUGCGCAGAUAUCAGGAGGAACACCGGUGGCGAAGGCGGGUCUCUGGGCAGUAACUGACGCUGAGGAGCGAAAGCAUGGGUAGCGAACAGGAUUAGAUACCCUGGUAGUCCAUGCCGUAAACGGUGGGCGCUAGGUGUAGGGGUCUUCCACGACUUCUGUGCCGUAGCUAACGCAUUAAGCGCCACGCCUGGGGAGUACGGCCGCAAGGCUAAAACUCAAAGGAAUUGACGGGG